GUUCUAUUAAGUUAAAAUUAAACUAUAAGGAUGUGGCCCUUAAUAUUCACUUAAAAGUGAGUAAACCA
RNAcentral lists this transfer RNA (68 nucleotides) under Albinaria caerulea. Its description in RNAcentral is "tRNA-His". Lineage: Eukaryota; Metazoa; Mollusca; Gastropoda; Stylommatophora; Clausiliidae. The record is from RNAcentral.